RNAcentral lists this ribosomal RNA (468 nucleotides) under uncultured bacterium. RNAcentral's name for it is "partial 16S ribosomal RNA". It matches the Rfam family "Bacterial small subunit ribosomal RNA", at positions 28 to 507 of the family's 1533-position model. The record is from RNAcentral.
GACGAACGCUGGCGGCGUGCUUAACACAUGCAAGUCGAACGGAAAGGCCCUGCUUUUGUGGGGUGCUCGAGUGGCGAACGGGUGAGUAACACGUGAGUAACCUGCCCUUGACUUUGGGAUAACUUCAGGAAACUGGGGCUAAUACCGGAUAGGAGCUCCUGCUGCAUGGGGGGGGUUGGAAAGUUUCGGCGGUUGGGGAUGGACUCGCGGCUUAUCAGCUUGUUGGUGGGGUAGUGGCUUACCAAGGCUUUGACGGGUAGCCGGCCUGAGAGGGUGACCGGCCACCUUGGGACUGAGAUACGGCCCAGACUGCUACGGGAGGCAGCAGUGGGAAAUAUUGCACAAUGGGCGGGAGCCUGAUGCAGCAGCGCCGCGUGCGGGAUGACGGCCUUCGGGUUGUAAACCGCUUUCGCCUGUGACGAAGCGUGAGUGACGGUAAUGGGUAAAGAAGCACCGGCUAACUACGUG